AGUAUGAACUUGUGUUCCAAAGACAAAAAAUAAAACUACGUGCUGCCCCAAACAAUAACCGUUUAUUAUAAUUCACACGACAUAUUUAGUCCGUGAUUGUUAUAACUUAUAAUCGAGGAAUAUAAAGUUAUAUUAUUUUUUUGAUUUAAUUAAAUUAAAAUAACGAAAUAUAUACAUAUUUAACUAAAAGCAAGUUACCUGAUAAGGAGUUUUAAUAAUAUACCCGUAUACCAAGGAAGGCUACAUGAACUCCAAGAGAAUACAGGCCUUGCUAGAUAGUGAUGAUGAGUAUCCAUCUACAUACAAAGAAGAACCGGCGCUUCCUGCAUAUCAAAAUGAUUACAGAUUUGAACCUAUAGUAUUCAAAUGGAUAAAAAAUUGUGUAUCUGUUUCACAGCAGAAAAGAAAAUCUCAAAAACUGGAUAAUAUUAGGAAUGAAUAUAUAACCAAAGGGUAUUUAAGUCAAAAAGAUUUAUUUUGUCUUAAAGCAGUAGCUAAAACUUCCAAUGACGAUACAUUUUUAUGGUUGGUAGACUUCUUUGUACGCAAGGAUAUUCAGUCCAGAUAUGGAAGCAAUCUCAAAAGUUGUCUUAUUGUUAAUUUCCCAGAAACACCAGAAAUACCCAUUAAUAAACGAACUGAGGAGCAAAAAUUUUACAAGAAAUAUAAAAUAGUUGUCAAAGUUUAAAAUAACAAUGCUAGGGAAAUAGUUUACUGUAUUAUUAAUGAGCUAUGUUUAAUAAAAGUUGAUAAUUAUGAACA
Pieris brassicae (large cabbage white) is the source of this 762-nucleotide long non-coding RNA. RefSeq lists it as uncharacterized. NCBI's taxonomy places the organism in Eukaryota, Metazoa, Arthropoda, Insecta, Lepidoptera, Pieridae. The record is from RefSeq and is a predicted model, not a curated record. The transcript has 2 exons.